Molecule: ribosomal RNA, 279 nt
Filed under: uncultured bacterium
Lineage: Bacteria
Description: partial 16S ribosomal RNA
Rfam family: Bacterial small subunit ribosomal RNA
Source: RNAcentral
UGCCAGCCGCCGCGGUAAUACGGAGGGUGCGAGCGUUAAUCGGAAUCACUGGGCGUAAAGCGUACGUAGGCGGCGUAUUAAGUCAGAGGUGAAAUCCUGCCGCUCAACGGUAGAAUGGCCUUUGAUACUGAUAGACUUGAGUUAUUGUGAAGUAGUUAGAAUGUGUAGUGUAGCGGUGAAAUGCAUAGAUAUUACACAGAAUACCAAUUGCGAAGGCAGAUUACUAACAAUACACUGACGCUGAGGGACGAAAGCGUGGUUAGCGAACAGGAUUAGAUA